Long non-coding RNA from Cyanistes caeruleus (blue tit), 608 nucleotides. RefSeq lists it as uncharacterized. The record is from RefSeq and is a predicted model, not a curated record. NCBI's taxonomy places the organism in Eukaryota, Metazoa, Chordata, Aves, Passeriformes, Paridae.
AACUGUAUAAAAGUCCUUGGAGGGGAGAGCAGCUCAUUCACUCAGCUCCGCUCCUCCUCCCGAGCCUUCACAGCCAAGGUUUCCAACCUUCCCUCCGACCAGCCCAAAAAUGUGCUCCCGUGAGAACAGAGGCUGCCACAGCUCCGAGAGCUCCUCCUGCCACGGCGGCAGCUCCUCCUGCCACGACAGCGACCGCUCCUGCCACGGCUCCGAGGGGGUGGUGUGCCACGAGGUGACCCCGGUGCCGGACGUGACCCCCGUGGUGGUGCUGACCCCGCAGUGCCCGGUGGCCACCGGGACGGGGCAGGUGCCCCUGGCCCAGGUUCCGUGCCAGCAGCAGCAGCAGCAGAUCAAGCAGCCGGUGCAGUGGCCGCCGCAGCAGCAGCAGAAGUGAAGGGCCCGGAGCUGCUCCUGUCCCCUGUCCCCUGAGCUUGGACAGGCCCUGCCUCAUCCCUCCGGCCCCUUCCCUCCUCCUGAGAACCCCGAGUGGCAUUAGUGCGGUGGAAUUGGGAUUUUUUCCCCCGCGCGCGCGGGAAUUCCGAUCUCUUCAUUCCCUGCUCCUGUCUCCAGUAGCAAAGGUGUGAUAUUAAAACCUAAAGCUCAUCAAA